UACAGAGGGUGCAAACGUUGUUCGGAAUUACUGGGCAUAAAGCGUACGUAGGCGGCGCGUUUAGUGCAUGGUGAAAGCCCACGGCUCACCCGUGGAAUUGCUGUGCAUACUGGCGUGCUCGAGGACGGUAGGGGAGUGCGGAACUCUUGGUGGAGCGGUGAAAUGCGUAGAUAUCAAGAGGAACACCGAAGGCGAAGGCAGCACUCUGGUCCGUUUCUGACGCUGAGGUACGAAAGCCAGGGUAGCGAACGGG
This 253-nucleotide ribosomal RNA is filed under the name uncultured bacterium. RNAcentral's name for it is "partial 16S ribosomal RNA". It matches the Rfam family "Bacterial small subunit ribosomal RNA", at positions 524 to 776 of the family's 1533-position model. The record is from RNAcentral.